GAACUGCUGAGGAGUCCCACAAUAGGAUGAAACGACCGUCCAGUGU
RNAcentral lists this non-coding RNA (46 nucleotides) under Schistosoma mansoni. Lineage: Eukaryota; Metazoa; Platyhelminthes; Trematoda; Strigeidida; Schistosomatidae. The record is from RNAcentral.